Molecule: ribosomal RNA, 406 nt
Filed under: uncultured bacterium
Lineage: Bacteria
Description: partial 16S ribosomal RNA
Rfam family: Bacterial small subunit ribosomal RNA
Source: RNAcentral
AUUGAACGCUGGCGGCAGGCCUAACACAUGCAAGUCGAACGGAGUGGCGGACGGGUGAGUAAUACCUAGGAAUCUGCCUGGUAGUGGGGGAUAACGUUCGGAAACGGACGCUAAUACCGCAUACUAUCAGAUGAGCCUAGGUCGGAUUAGCUAGUUGGUGAGGUAAUGGCUCACCAAGGCUACGAUCCGUAACUGGUCUGAGAGGAUGAUCAGUCACACUGGAACUGAGACACGGUCCAGACUCCUACGGGAGGCAGCAGUGGGGAAUAUUGGACAAUGGGCGCAAGCCUGAUGCAGCCAUGCCGCGUGUAUGAAGAAGGCCUUCGGGUUGUAAAGUACUUUCAGCGGGGAGGCGUUACCGCAGAAGAAGCACCGGCUAACUCCGUGCCAGCAGCCGCGGUAAUAC